Molecule: ribosomal RNA, 465 nt
Filed under: uncultured bacterium
Lineage: Bacteria
Description: partial 16S ribosomal RNA
Rfam family: Bacterial small subunit ribosomal RNA
Source: RNAcentral
GACGAACGCUGGCGGCGUGCUUAACACAUGCAAGUCGAACGGUGAACUCCGCUUGCGGGGGGAUCAGUGGCGAACGGGUGAGUAACACGUGGGCAACCUGCCCUCAGCUCUGGGAUAACUCCAAGAAAUUGGGGCUAAUACCGGAUAUGACCGCUGACCGCAUGGUCUGGUGGUGGAAAGAUUUAUCGGUUGGGGAUGGGCCCGCGGCCUAUCAGCUUGUUGGUGGGGUAGUGGCCUACCAAGGCGACGACGGGUAGCCGGCCUGAGAGGGUGACCGGCCACACUGGGACUGAGACACGGCCCAGACUCCUACGGGAGGCAUCAGUGGGGAAUAUUGCGCAAUGGGCGAAAGCCUGACGCAGCGACGCCGCGUGGGGGAUGACGGCCUUCGGGUUGUAAACCUCUUUCAGCAGGGACGAAGCGAAAGUGACGGUACCUGCAGAAGAAGCACCGGCCAACUACGUG